GAGGUGGGUGCCUUGGGGGUGGUCCCAACUGGGUGGGGUUGGGGAGCCUGGGGGCACCAUACGGGUAUAAGAAUUCAUUUUGGACACAGUGUGUGUCCCCUUCUGCGGAACCUUUGAGCUCAAUAGCCCAAGGGCAGGCCAGGCUCACCGCCCCUUUGGCUGUUGCCACUCUGGGUCAGUCUCCAGGGGCAAGGACAGGUUGGCAGUGUCCCCCCUCUGCCUGACUCCAGUCUGGGCAUUUCUGGAGCAUCCUGUGCGCCUGGCUCAGCCCAGCAAGCUGACAUUUGAAAGCUCACAGCUGUCCUGUGAGGUGGGUGAUUCCCGUGUCGUUUCAUGGUGAAGAAGCCAAGGCCAGGACAGAAGUGACCUGUCCCCGGGCCACAGCUGGGCAGGGGCGGAGUUGGCAUUUGAACCCAGCUGCGUGCCUCUUGAGUGCUGCUCUGUGGGCCCCGCAGCCUCCUGUCAGCUCCUUCUGGCGCCUGCUCUGUGGGUGUUCCUUUUGUCUAAGGCGCCUGCAGCCCUCAGAGGGUCUGUGGGGUGGGGACAGAGCUCAGCACCCCGCAUCCACCAGCACCAUCUCCGACCUCUGUGCAGGCUUCGUGUUAGAGGUGGCAGCCAGGUCCUGCCAACGGAAGAUGCUGGGCCUUGGAAACAGCCUGCACUGUAGGUGACCCGGCCGGCCGGGCCCAAACUGGCUGCCAAGAAAAGGGAGCGGGAAAGGAAAACAGCUCUCGGCCACAUCGCCUGUGUAACCGAAUCUGUUUUCAAAGCCCCUCGCAACGCGGGCUCCGCAUUCGGCAGGGCAGGCACUCGCCGCCAGAUCCCCGAGGACUGCUCAGGGGGUCUUCUGGGAGGAGCUCAAAGCGAGUUUGUUUUCGGGGAGGAGGUCAUUGCACUCAAGGUCCCCGUGACUGCAGCGUUCUCAAACGUCCUGCCAUGUGCUGGGAUAACCCCACCCACCGCAGGCGUGCCCUCCGUGGGGCAGGGAGGGGAAGCAGGUUUGGGCUGUUAGGGCUGCAAGCCAAGGGGCCUGCAGGGCAUCUUAGUGAGCUGCUUUGGUGUCCCUGCAGUUGGCGACACCCAUUGUCACACCCCCUCGGCACCCUCGGUCUCCCACAUGACAGACUUACCUGGGGAUGCAAACAGGGCUGGUGAUGACCUUGGCCCUGUGCGGUGGGGUGGCCGUUUAUGAUGGGGCCUGCACUCAACUCACUUUCAGGUCUAGAUGCGGGGACCGGGGGAGGUGUCAGCUGGGCUGGGCUGGGCACGACUAGACUGUGGCCCCGUCUGCGGGAGCCCGGCCACCACCUCAGCAACGCCACCUCCUUAGGAUGUGGGGGCGGGAUUUACUCUCGAGACUCUUAGAGCCAGCGGGUGGCUGGAGGCUCAUAGCCUGGCCCAGGCAGCUGGGGGAGGGCUUUGCUGGUGCCUGGGACCCCCCACCCCCUGCAUUCUCGCCUUUGCUUUCUCUUUUGCUCUCGUCUUUAACAACAUCUCUCCACUCCUCCCCUCCCUCCCUCCUCUGGCCUGCCCGCUCCUUCAUUCCUUCUCUGCUCCUAACCCCCGCAUAGAGGAGCCUGGGGAGCCCGCAGCCUCCUGACCCCAUGUUCCUCUUUCUCUCCUGUCUUCCUGGAGACGUCUGCCACUGACAGUCUUGGAGCCCUGUCAAGGGGACCUGUCCUGCGCUGGGCUGUCCACAGAGGAGCAGCGUGGAGGAGCUGGGAGUGCCCAGCCUGCCUGUGGGCUGCAUUGCCGCUUCCUGCCCAGGAGCCCUGCAGCCGUCUGUCCGCCUCUGAGUAGGACAGUGGGGUUUCCUGGCCAGGAGCAGAGUUUGUCACAUUCCAGUUAUGUCUGCCCAAUGUUCAGCUUUUGGGCAAGGGGUGCCGGUGGUUGAAGAGGCCCCUCUGGGCAGGAACCUCUCACCUGGGGCACGGAGCUCAUGAAGACAGCUCCCUCCAUCAUGCCCUGUUUUAUAGCUGAAACCAAAGAAUUCAAGCUCCAUAAGGAAGAACCUAGAGGCCCCCCACGUCAGCCUGCCCCAGCCUGGAGCUUACCCACCAUGGAAAUGUGUCUGUUGGCCUUACAGAGGAGAAGGCAUUUGGGCAGGGCUUUGAGGUAUGAGUAGGAGUUUGCUGAAUGAAAUGAGAGGAAAGGGUUUUCAGGGCAGAGGGAACAGGUUGGGGUGGUAAGAAGGGUCCUGAGGCCCAUAGAGAGUGACUGCUAUGAGUGAGUGGUUGGAACUGGCGUGACUGAAGAUGGGGAAGGACAUCUGGGGGUCGGGGGUGCCAGAGGAGUUGGGGAUUUAUCUGGAAGAUGGUGGGUGCUAAGGCAAGAAGAACCAAUUCCUUUUUCUUUUUGCCAAAGCAAAGCCCUCCAUAGGAUUUCCUUUUGGACUUUCUUUUUGAAAGAGUAAUGCACACUGACAGUAACCAUUUAGAUAAUACAGUUUCUAAAAGAAAAGCAAUGAUCCUUUGCCUCUCCCACACCCACCUUUUCCCCACAAGCCCCCAGAAGGCUGGGGGUCUGCUCUCCCUCCCUUGACAGCUGCAGGAUGUUUUGUGGUGGGGUGUGAGGGGCUUUGGCCAGUCCCUGGAGAUGGACGUGCUGGUGUGUCCAGUUUCCCCAGCCCACUUAAAUGGGUGCAGUGAGUGGCCUUUAUAAGUUCCCCGAAGGGGGCGUGUGGGGGACAGUUACAGACAUGUCGUUUAACAAAUGCUGCAGAUCCCCUUCCAGAAGUGAAGAACAUCUCAGCCGUGCCCUGGCAGGCCUGGCUCCUCCCCCUCCACACCUGAAGUUUCUGUUUAAAAUGUUUGGCCACUGGAGGGGUGAAGACACUCACCUGUGCCUGAGGCACUUUAUUAUCCUGACUGAGCGCGCCCUGCACCUCUCACUGUCCUGAAGUGGCUCGGCCCUCGGGCUUCAUCUGGGCCUUCUGUACCUGAGCCUGGGCUUGGCCCAGCGUGGCCAGUGGGCUCCGGGCCCCUCCUGCCAGCCUAGCACUUCUGAGACAGAAGCCUGGCGCAGCAGGCAGGCACCUCUGGACUUUGAGCCUGGGCCCUUGACAGCCAGGGAGAGGGCGACCCCCAGCACACACUACCCUAACCUUUAGCAACGUCCCCACUGCAGAUGGGGGUGCUAGCCUUGAAAGUUGGGUGCCCCAAGGGUUGGGGCAGGAGGGCAAGGGGCCGCCCCAGGGAGGUGGUGCAUGACACAGCCUAUAACAGGCAGUGACUCACUGCUCAUCCAGCCAUAAAGUCAGGGUGAUAGGCUCAGUGUCCCAGCCGUGCUCCCUGGAGUCCCUGCCCCAACGUCAUUCCCUUCUCUGCAGCCUGCGCUGGGCAGAGCUCCCUCCCCAGGGGGGCCGCCUGGGCCACUCUGGGACCAUCCACCCAUUCCAGACCCACCCAUUCCAACUCACUUGCUACUGCUGGGGAGACUGAGUGCCAGGGAGGGGGAGCAAGGGUAGAUGGAGAACUAACAGUGUCAGAGUCCACAGGUCAUCUGUCCCCCACUUUACAGUGUGGACUGCGGGAGGGGAUCCCAGUGUGGGCUGCAGAGCUCAGGGCCAGGAUGCUCGGCCUGUCCAGGCUGCGAUCUGGAGGAAGCGGGUACUCUCUGCUUAGCCCAGGGCCUUCCACGCUCCUGGGGGCUGCGGGGACAGAUCCAAGAACAUGGGCCCUGGGGCCAUGGUGUCCGAUUCAACCCACGCUUCCUCCCUGUUGACACCGGGCAACUUGCUGAGCCGCUCCGUGCCUCAGUUUCCUCGUCUGUAAAGUGGGAUUCAUAGUAGCUCCUUCCCGACUGGGCUGUCUGGGGAUUGGUGAGUGAUGCCGUGGGGCAGGAUCAUGAUUUACGGGGUGCCUGUAUGUUCUCCCAGAGACGGGAAGGGCCCUGAGGGGUGACUCCUCACCAGAUAGCGGGGUCUCCCAGGGACUAAGCAGGUGGGAGGGAUGGGCGCUGCCCUACUGUGCAGAGCCUUGGCGGGAUCCCUUGACGCUGUCCCCAGGCUCUGCGGGGCCAGGAAUAGGGCCACUGGGCCUGGGGUCCUUGUAGUUCAAGGGUCACCCUGAACUGCGGGGCUCUAACUAUAGAGACCCUGGGGCAGUGACGCCUGUGCAACCUGCCCGCCUGUCACUCCCUCCCCCAACCCCUCACACUUGCCCUGCCUCCUUGACCUGCCCUGCCCACCCCUCACCCUCACCCUCACGCUGCCCCCUUAUCCCGCCCCUGGCACCUGCCCUGCCCUUCCCCUCCUGUGAUGGUUAAUACUGAGUGUCAACUUGAUUGGACUGAAGGAUGCAAAGUAUCGA
This 4310-nucleotide long non-coding RNA is filed under the name Homo sapiens (human). Its description in RNAcentral is "HSALNT0402340". The record is from RNAcentral. Lineage: Eukaryota; Metazoa; Chordata; Mammalia; Primates; Hominidae.